Molecule: ribosomal RNA, 1550 nt
Filed under: Staphylococcus aureus
Lineage: Bacteria; Bacillati; Bacillota; Bacilli; Caryophanales; Staphylococcaceae
Description: 16S ribosomal RNA
Rfam family: Bacterial small subunit ribosomal RNA
Source: RNAcentral
UUUAUGGAGAGUUUGAUCCUGGCUCAGGAUGAACGCUGGCGGCGUGCCUAAUACAUGCAAGUCGAGCGAACGGACGAGAAGCUUGCUUCUCUGAUGUUAGCGGCGGACGGGUGAGUAACACGUGGAUAACCUACCUAUAAGACUGGGAUAACUUCGGGAAACCGGAGCUAAUACCGGAUAAUAUUUUGAACCGCAUGGUUCAAAAGUGAAAGACGGUCUUGCUGUCACUUAUAGAUGGAUCCGCGCUGCAUUAGCUAGUUGGUAAGGUAACGGCUUACCAAGGCAACGAUGCAUAGCCGACCUGAGAGGGUGAUCGGCCACACUGGAACUGAGACACGGUCCAGACUCCUACGGGAGGCAGCAGUAGGGAAUCUUCCGCAAUGGGCGAAAGCCUGACGGAGCAACGCCGCGUGAGUGAUGAAGGUCUUCGGAUCGUAAAACUCUGUUAUUAGGGAAGAACAUAUGUGUAAGUAACUGUGCACAUCUUGACGGUACCUAAUCAGAAAGCCACGGCUAACUACGUGCCAGCAGCCGCGGUAAUACGUAGGUGGCAAGCGUUAUCCGGAAUUAUUGGGCGUAAAGCGCGCGUAGGCGGUUUUUUAAGUCUGAUGUGAAAGCCCACGGCUAACCGUGGAGGGUCAUUGGAAACUGGAAAACUUGAGUGCAGAAGAGGAAAGUGGAAUUCCAUGUGUAGCGGUGAAAUGCGCAGAGAUAUGGAGGAACACCAGUGGCGAAGGCGACUUUCUGGUCUGUAACUGACGCUGAUGUGCGAAAGCGUGGGGAUCAAACAGGAUUAGAUACCCUGGUAGUCCACGCCGUAAACGAUGAGUGCUAAGUGUUAGGGGGUUUCCGCCCCUUAGUGCUGCAGCUAACGCAUUAAGCACUCCGCCUGGGGAGUACGACCGCAAGGUUGAAACUCAAAGGAAUUGACGGGGACCGCACAAGCGGUGGAGCAUGUGGUUUAAUUCGAAGCAACGCGAAGAACCUUACCAAAUCUUGACAUCCUUUGACAACUCUAGAGAUAGAGCCUUCCCCUUCGGGGGACAAAGUGACAGGUGGUGCAUGGUUGUCGUCAGCUCGUGUCGUGAGAUGUUGGGUUAAGUCCCGCAACGAGCGCAACCCUUAAGCUUAGUUGCCAUCAUUAAGUUGGGCACUCUAAGUUGACUGCCGGUGACAAACCGGAGGAAGGUGGGGAUGACGUCAAAUCAUCAUGCCCCUUAUGAUUUGGGCUACACACGUGCUACAAUGGACAAUACAAAGGGCAGCGAAACCGUGAGGUCAAGCAAAUCCCAUAAAGUUGUUCUCAGUUCGGAUUGUAGUCUGCAACUCGACUACAUGAAGCUGGAAUCGCUAGUAAUCGUAGAUCAGCAUGCUACGGUGAAUACGUUCCCGGGUCUUGUACACACCGCCCGUCACACCACGAGAGUUUGUAACACCCGAAGCCGGUGGAGUAACCUUUUAGGAGCUAGCCGUCGAAGGUGGGACAAAUGAUUGGGGUGAAGUCGUAACAAGGUAGCCGUAUCGGAAGGUGCGGCUGGAUCACCUCCUUU